CCAAACAGGAUGUCGACUUGUAAGAGACAAUUUUAACAUUCAUAUCCAUGUUUCAGCUUGAUCAUAAAAGUGAAACAGGAUCAAACUCUUGUAUAAAACUCGUGGCUUCUGUUUGGGAAAACUGAACAUUUCCAGUGGCACUACAGCAGAUCAGAAACAUGAAGUACGUGGCCUGUGUAUUCAUGCAAUUACUGAUUUUUACCACAGUUAACGCCCAGUUGAACGGCUGUGUCUGCUUACAAUACUGGGACCCUGUAUGCGGAUGGAAUGGUCGAACGUACACAAACUCGGGCUGUGCCGUAUGCGCCGGGGUUUCUGUACGAUGUCAGGGGGAGUGCCCCUGUUCCAGCGGCGGAACAUAUGUUUAGCACGGUGCAGGGGGGUAGCUGUGUUCCGGCCAGGAAGUUGUUACGGCAUAAAUCGCCAUUACUAGGUGAACCCACGUUUCCUCUGGUCGGGUGUUUUCAAUAAAGCAUUCAUUACA
Molecule: long non-coding RNA, 484 nt
Organism: Ostrea edulis (European flat oyster)
Lineage: Eukaryota; Metazoa; Mollusca; Bivalvia; Ostreida; Ostreidae
Exons: 5
Source: RefSeq, a predicted model, not a curated record